AGGGAGAAGAAGGUUGUUGAGAUCUAGGUAUAAAAGCUGGAAGAAGCUAGCUUCGUUUAGGAGGUCACAUACACUGCGUGACUAACAAACGUGGUUAUGGUCAAAAAGUCAAACGACCAGUGAAGGAUGUGCUCUGACUCCAAUAAGACCUACCUAAAUUAUGCUUAUCCUAUCCCCAACAUUUAUAGAUUGGUGGACGAUGCGUUAAGUCAUCAAAUUCUCAAUUUUUUGGAUACAUCACCAACUUAGUACAGCAACC
This 259-nucleotide long non-coding RNA is filed under the name Vigna radiata. RNAcentral's name for it is "long non-coding RNA (VRAD_LNC007154)". The record is from RNAcentral. Lineage: Eukaryota; Viridiplantae; Streptophyta; Magnoliopsida; Fabales; Fabaceae.